Molecule: ribosomal RNA, 1345 nt
Filed under: Triticum aestivum (bread wheat)
Lineage: Eukaryota; Viridiplantae; Streptophyta; Magnoliopsida; Poales; Poaceae
Description: partial small subunit ribosomal RNA
Source: RNAcentral
AUCAUAGAGGCUCCUCUGAGAUGACAGCUGCCUCCUCCUCCCCCGCACUCCCGCCGCCCCGUCUUCUCUUCGUCCCGCCUCGCCCCUCUCUCUCCCUCCAAACCCUACCCCGCGCACGCCUCCCUACCCCGCCGCCAUCUCCUUCGCCGCCGGGAGCUCGCCCGGGAUGACUGCCGCGGGGUUCCUGGUGGGCUUCCUCCUCGGCCUGCUCGCGCUCACGGAGGCCGAGGCGGCCGCGCUGCUCUGGUUCGUGCUCCGCCUCCGCCGCCGGCGAGGCUCCGGUGGACUCGGACGGCUCCUCUCCGUCUCCUCCCUCGCCCCCACGUGUGGUUCCGCUUCCCGCUGGCCACGAGGUGCAGCCUUGCAGGGGCGCAUCGGGCUGGGCCUCUGUUUCCGGUUAGUUCAUCCCCCUCCUCCUCCUCUCCGAUCUGCUCUGGUUCUCGCCCUCUCCUCUUCUUCCUUCUCUCUCAGAUAUGGUGCAGCAGCUGCUGUGGGGUUGAGGUGUUCUGGCAACGGUAGGAGCUCCGGGCCCGUCCAGGUCUGGUGCUCCAUCUAUGCUGAUUUUCAGAAACUGUUGCCCAGAGAGAUCUCCAUGAAGCAUUGCGCCUGAUGCAGAUGUCAAAGUAUUCAAUCUACUCUGAUGACCACCAGCGGUGUAGUCUUGGUACAUAUACUGCAUCCUGAGAGAUAAAGCAGCAAGGACUAGCAGCAUGGAUGUGAAAUAUGGUCAUGCUCUUAACCUGAUCUCCAGAAAGAUUCAAACUACUCUCCUGUGAGGAUUUGUUCUGCUAUACAUUUUCCUUUCAUUUCCCAUCCAGGUUGUGUUCAAAUGAUAGGUGGCAUUGCAAAUUAUGACCAGUUUAAAUGUUGUUUAGUGAGCCUCCAUCUGCCAAUUGGAAAUAAACUGAGGGACCUGAAGUUUCAUCUAUUAGGAGAAGCCGGUGCUUGUGCGGGUUGCCGGAUUAAUCAAGAUGGAAGCUGAUGCAAUAAGAGUCCCAUCGGUACCAUUGCCUGUGACCAUGAUGCAGACAUUCACUCUAGGAUUUGAGAUUUUCUUUUCUCAUCCCCUACGAUAAAUUAUAGUUCAAGGAGUGAAUUCAUCCACGUCUACAUAUUUUCAUAUUUUGUUGUGUUUUGGCAUAACCAUUAUCUGAUUUGAGUUUUUGUAAGCGUGCUGAAGUCUUAUUGAUUGUGUUCCUGCAAAUAAACAUGAUCACCAAAUGGGCGUCUUCUGAAAAUUAAGAGAAUUAACUAAUUGUAUAUGCUAUUUAUUUGUGUUCUUUUUGUAAGAUUCAGAUGAUGCACACUUGAAUAUGAAUGAAGGAUGUGUCCUUGGCUAUUGGGC